This 456-nucleotide ribosomal RNA is filed under the name uncultured bacterium. RNAcentral describes it as "bacterial SSU rRNA". It matches the Rfam family "Bacterial small subunit ribosomal RNA", at positions 396 to 864 of the family's 1533-position model. The record is from RNAcentral.
ACCGCGUGAGGGAAGACGGCCUAUGGGUUGUAAACCUCUUUUUUCAGGGAGGAAUUAAAUGACGUGUACCUGAAGAAUAAGCAUCGGCUAACUCCGUGCCAGCAGCCGCGGUAAGACGGAGGAUGCAAGUGUUAUCCGGAAUCACUGGGCGUAAAGCGUCUGUAGGUGGUCUAAUAAGUCAACUGUUAAAUCUUGAGGCUCAACCUCAAAAUCGCAGUCGAAACUAUUAGACUAGAGUAUAGUAGGGGUAAAGGGAAUUUCCAGUGGAGCGGUGAAAUGCGUAGAGAUUGGAAAGAACACCGAUGGCGAAGGCACUUUACUGGGCUAUUACUAACACUCAGAGACGAAAGCUAGGGUAGCAAAUGGGAUUAGAUACCCCAGUAGUCCUAGCCGUAAACAAUGGAUACUAGAUGUUGAACAGAUCGACCUGUGCAGUAUCAAAGCUAACGCGUUAAG